RNAcentral lists this ribosomal RNA (1469 nucleotides) under metagenome. RNAcentral's name for it is "bacterial SSU rRNA". It matches the Rfam family "Bacterial small subunit ribosomal RNA". The record is from RNAcentral.
GUUUGCUUUCAACUUUUCGAAGGAGAAAGUAGACUGGAAAGUGGCGGAAGGGUGAGGAACACGUGGGCAACCUGCCCUCAAGUUCGGGACAACCAUUGGAAACGAUGGCUAAUACCGGAUGUGGAUUUCUGUCGCAUGGCAGAACAUCUAAAGAUGGGGAUUCUUCGGAACCUGUCGCUUGUGGAGGGGCCCGCGUCCCAUCAGUUUGUUGGUAAGGUAACGGCUUACCAAGGCUAUGACGGGUAGCUGGUCUGAGAGGAUGGUCAGCCACACUGGGACUGAGACACUGCCCAGACUCCUACGGGAGGCUGCAGUCGAGGAUCAUUCGCAAUGCGCGAAAGCGUGACGAUGCGACGCUGCGUGGAGGAUGAAGGCUUUCGGGUUGUAAACUCCUGUCAUGAGGGAAAAGUAACCAGGCGAUUAAUACUCGUUUGGAUCGAUGGUACCUCAAGAGGAAGCCACGGCUAACUCUGUGCCAGCAGCCGCGGUAAUACAAGGUGGCGAGCGUUGUUCGGAUUUACUGGGCGUAAAGGGUGCGUAGGUGGUAAUGUAUGUCGGAUGUGAAAUCCCAUGGCUCAACUGUGGAACUGCAUUCGAAACUGCAUAACUAGAGUGCAGGAGGGGGGAGCGGAAUUCUUGGUGUAGCGGUGAAAUGCGUUGAUAUCAAGAAGAACACCGGCGGCGAAGGCGGCUCUCUGGAAUGUUACUGACACUGAUGCACGAAAGCUAGGGGAGCAAACAGGAUUAGAUACCCUGGUAGUCCUAGCUGUAAACGUUGUGAACUUGGUGUUGGCGGUAUUGAUCCCGCCAGUGCCGGAGCUAACGCAUUAAGUUCACCGCCUGGGGAGUACGGUCGCAAGACUAAAACUCAAAGAAAUUGACGGGGGCCCGCACAAGCGGAGGAGCAUGUGGCUUAAUUCGAUGCAACGCGAAGAACCUUACCAGGGUUUGACAUGGCGACCCUUCGGGGGUGGGAGUGAAAGCUCCCUUUGCGAUCACAGGUGCUGCAUGGCUGUCGUCAGUUCGUGCCGUGAGGUGUUGGGUUAAGUCCCGCAACGAACGCAACCCUUGUGGUUAGUUGCCACUUCCGAUUAACGUCGGGAAGCACUCUAGCCAGACUGCCUGUACAAGCAGGAGGAAGGUGGGGAUGACGUCAAGUCAGUAUGGCCCUUACACCCUGGGCUGCACACGUGCUACAGUGGCCGGUCCAGAAGGAAGCAAUACCGCGAGGUGGAGCAAAUCCCCAAAGCCGGCCCCAGUUCGGAUUGGAGUCUGCAACUCGACUCCAUGAAGUUGGAUUCGCUAGUAACGGCGUAUCAGCUACGACGCCGUGAAUACGUUCCCGGGCCUUGUACACACCGCCCGUCACAUCAUGAAAGCCGUCUGCACCCGAAGUCGCUGAGCUAACCCGCAAGGGAGGCAGGUGCCGAAGGUGUGGGUGGUAAUUGGGAUGAAGUCGUAACAAGGUA